RNAcentral lists this ribosomal RNA (1352 nucleotides) under Scolecobasidium minimum. RNAcentral's name for it is "LSU rRNA". It matches the Rfam family "Eukaryotic large subunit ribosomal RNA", at positions 74 to 1435 of the family's 3401-position model. The record is from RNAcentral. Lineage: Eukaryota; Fungi; Ascomycota; Dothideomycetes; Venturiales; Sympoventuriaceae.
AUUGCCCCAGUAACGGCGAGUGAAGCGGCAACAGCUCAAAUUUGAAAUCUGGGGCCCUUUGGGCGUCCGAGUUGUAAUUUGCAGAGGGAGUCUCGGAGGGCGCGCCGGCCCAAGUGCCUUGGAACAGGAUACCGCAGAGGGUGAGAGUCCCGUAUCCGGCCGGCGUUGCGCUCCGUGUGAGGCCCCUUCGACGAGUCGAGUUGUUUGGGAAUGCAGCUCUAAGCGGGUGGUAAAUUCCAUCUAAAGCUAAAUACUGGCCAGAGACCGAUAGCGCACAAGUAGAGUGAUCGAAAGAUGAAAAGCACUUUGAAAAGAGAGUCAAACAGUACGUGAAAUUGUUGAAGGGGAAGCGCAUGGGGGCAGACUUGAGCGCGGGGUUCAGGGUUUCCAUCUGGAGCCUGUACUUCCCCGCGGGCAGGCCAGCAUCGGUUUCGGGGGCCGGACAAAGGCGACGGGAACGUGGCUCUCUUCGGGGAGUGUUAUAGCCCGGCGCGCAAUGCGGCCACCUGGGACCGAGGACCGCGCUUCGGCAAGGAUGCUGGCGUAAUGGCCUCAUGCGGCCCGUCUUGAAACACGGACCAAGGAGUCUAACAUCUAUGCGAGUGUUUGGGUGGCAAGCCCGGGCGCGCAAUGAAAGUGAACGGAGGUGGGAGCCCUGUGACACGGGGUGCAGCAUCGACCGGUCCGGACGUCUUCCGAAGGAUCUGAGUAAGAGCAUAGCUGUUGGGACCCGAAAGAUGGUGAACUAUGCGUGAAUAGGGUGAAGCCAGAGGAAACUCUGGUGGAGGCUCGCAGCGGUUCUGACGUGCAAAUCGAUCGUCAAAUUUGCGUAUAGGGGCGAAAGACUAAUCGAACCAUCUAGUAGCUGGUUCCUGCCGAAGUUUCCCUCAGGAUAGCAGUAACGCGCGGCAGUUUUAUGAGGUAAAGCGAACGAUUAGGGAGCUAGGGGUUGAAACAACCUUUAUCCAUUCUCGAACUUUAAAUAUGUAAGAAGUCCUUGUUGCUUUGUUGAACGUGGACACUCGAAUGCGGCGUUACUAGUGGGCCAUUUUUGGUAAGCAGAACUGGCGAUGCGGGAUGAACCGAACGUGGGGUUAAGGUGCCGGAAUGCACGCUCAUCAGACACCACAAAAGGUGUUGGUUCAUCCAGACAGCAGGACGGUGGCCAUGGAAGUCGGAAUCCGCUAAGGAGUGUGUAACAACUCACCUGCCGAAUGAACCAGCCCUGAAAAUGGAUGGCGCUCAAGCGUGCUACCCAUACCCCACCGUCUGCUCUUGCGGGUAGGAGCAGACGAGUAGGCAGGCGUGGAGGUUUUGUGACGAAGCCCAGGGCGUGAGCCCGGGUCGAACGG